AGCCUUAACAACCGGACCAAUAUUACUGUUUAUAUAUAUGUUAUUACCGGUGAUUAAAAUAGAUCCUUCGUUGUACCCGUUCCCCCGCGCAUUUAGCGAUCUAUUUCGUGUCAUGGACCCGCUCCACAGACCGCAGGACGACACGGACGUGCUCCUAGAUUUUGAUACGGGUCCUGUUCACUUCCAGGUCACUGAAGCGGGCCAGAAGGAUUGUCGCUGACCCCUCCCAUCCUGGUCACUCCCUGUUCGAGUCCCUCCCCUCUGGAAGGAGGCUGCGGUCCAUCAGGACAAAGACCUCCCGCCACACCAAAAUCUUUUUCCCGUCGGCAGUCGGGCUCAUCAAUGGAGCCCGGGUCCCCCACUGACUGACUCUGUCACCCCCAGGACUACCUCCUCUUCUUCCUCCUUCCUCUCUCCUCCUUCUUCCCGCUCCUUCCUCUUCCUCCUCCUCCUCCUUCUUCUUCUUCUUCUUCCUCCUACUCCUCCUCCCUCCUCCUUCUUCUUCCCUCCUGGAGGCCUCCUUUUUAAUGCAGGACUCUAAUAAAAAUCAGUUAAAUACUCUUUAAGUUAUAGCCUACAUGAGGUGGUAAUAAUAUGUAUAUUGUAAGAUCUGUAUACUGUAUACUGCAGGACUCUAAUAAAAAUCAGUUAAAUACUCUUUAAGUUAUAGCCUACAUGAGGUGGUGUUGCAGACAGCUAGACAGCUUGACACGUCAAGUUUGUCAUGGUCUUUAUGCUGUUUUUUAAAUCUAUUUUCACCACUGUGUCUGGGGACCAUGUUUGUCUACUCAAGGGACCAACUGGUGGCUUUUCCAGACGCGGCGGUGCUGCUGCCCGAGGAAGGACAGCUGGAGGCGAAGGCAGGCAGCGGAGAGAGCAAUACCAACCACAGUCGGGAGACGGCCACGCGAUCUAGAGCCAGUCAGUGAUCUCCAAAGUGGUCUUCUGCAGCAGCAGCAUGGCAGCGGCUGACUGGUAACAACCUGAUCGGCACCAUGCAGUGUCCGGCUAAAAUCCAUUACCAUCCAUGCGCGUCUUCCAUACAGCGUUCCCUGUGGCCAGCUCCUCGUGCAUCCACUUCACUUCAAGCCGCUCCUCAAUCAAGUUAUGAAUACAACCAACAUCACCUGGGGUGAAGAGGAGAAGAGGAUGUUCAUGGAUCUCAAAGAGCCCCACUGCAAUGAAUCUGUUCUCCAUCCAAACCGUUGCCCCAUUCUGAAGGGGACACUUGCUAUCUUUAUUCAUUAUUUACCUUUUAUGUUAAAAUACUUUUAAUUGACGUAACGAUUCUAUGCGUAGCCAUCUAAAAACUAGUGUAUAAUACUGACAAAUUAUUAAUUAAAAUGUACCUUUUAGGAGAAUGUAUAUUUGUGUGAUCUUACUCAUUGACUAUAAAAAAGGUUCUGAAGGAAGAGGGAAUGCAAUUAAGACUUGCUAGCAGAUAUUAUCUUCAGUUUGUAAAAGUUUAUAGAAGCUGGUGGUUCUAUGUGGAAAAAAAAGUCUGAACGCCAUUGUCGACAGUCAUCAGACUUCUCGGUUAGUUUGGUGAAAAGUUUUUCUGCAGAAGUAGAAUUUAGCCAUUACCUCUUCGUUCAAUAAAGGCAGAACACAAAUGCUGUGUUCUGCACACGGCGAGAAUACAUUUCCAGCCACACACGGAGGAAAUGACGAUCAUAAAAGAUCAUAUUCAGACAACCAGAUAGCAAUUUAAAAUAUCUGGCAGAGAAUGUGUCACAUCUGAUUCUCAUGCACACUGACACAUUGUGUUGGUUUGAAAAGGAAUGGCAUUCAAAUAUAUAUUAGACCAAUGAAAUACUGCUAUUUUGUCAAAUGAGUGAAACAAGUUGACUGAUCAUGCACAUUCCUACUUUGUAAUGCUAUUGUUGGAUGCUAAGAAAAUACUGAAGCAAAAUAAAAAACGACAAGAUGUAGAACCUUAGCUGCAAAACCCCCAACAUGUUGAUCCAAGCUAAAGUGAGUAAGUUCUCUUCACUGUUUGACCUCGUGAUGACGGAUACUUGCAGUUUACAUGUGAGACCUAUUUGGCUAGAAGGAAGAGAUGAUUUGCCUGGCUCUCUGAUUUUACCUAAGCAAAUAGCAACACAUAUAAAUGCUUCUGUAGUGUAUUUUGCAUUACAGCUCUUAAAGAUACAGCUAUAUAUAUAUAUUGAUAUGGGCUCAGAGGCCCACAAGGUUUCCAUGGUAGAGAAUACCAUUGUUUAGAGUUGGACCAGAUGGUUUACAUUAGGAGACUCUUAUGGAAUGACGUGAUUCUGCUCCAAGGCUGGAGCAGUACGCCCAUUCCUGCUUCCUUAAAAGAGGUAACACAAAUUCAUUUGUGUGGGUUUCGUGGAUUCUCUGGACCUUCUGAAAUCACCCGGGCUGUAAGCAGUAUACGCUCGUAAUUAGACCUGUUUUCUUUCUGUAAUAAAACUGCAUUAUAUCAGCAACAA
Pseudoliparis swirei is the source of this 2453-nucleotide long non-coding RNA. RefSeq lists it as uncharacterized. The record is from RefSeq and is a predicted model, not a curated record. NCBI's taxonomy places the organism in Eukaryota, Metazoa, Chordata, Actinopteri, Perciformes, Liparidae. The transcript is spliced from 4 exons.